This is a long non-coding RNA of Hirundo rustica (Barn swallow), 1112 nucleotides long. RefSeq lists it as uncharacterized. The record is from RefSeq and is a predicted model, not a curated record. NCBI's taxonomy places the organism in Eukaryota, Metazoa, Chordata, Aves, Passeriformes, Hirundinidae. The transcript has 3 exons.
AAGGGAGUCGCAGCUGUGAAGUCAGUCUGUGUGUGCAGUCAGAGCCUGUUGUUGGAGCCUGCAGUCACAGUCUAGCUGGGUGAAAGCCUGCACUCAGAGUCUGCAAACUGAUACCUGCAGUCAGAGUUCAGCAGGAAAUAACCAGCAGUCAGAGGGUGCAAGGGAAACCUACAGCAGGAGCUUGCUGCAGCCAGGGUCAGUGAAUGGUUGGAGUCAGGAUGGCUGAGCUGUAAGGAGGAAUAAACGAGGAUCCUCUUCACUUUGUGAUAAACAAGGAGUCUGUGUCUUGGCUAACCUUCUAACAAGAGGGCUGCUGCUACAGGGCCCUUCAUUCAGAAUUGUGUUCCAGUGACUGAUUUUAACACUCAGGGCAUAAGACUCCCGUUUCUCUAGUGGUGGUCGGCUGCAGCUGGAAUAUUCUUCAACCCUGACAGAAAGAUUUCUGACCUUGAAUCAGUGAUUCUGGCUGCAAGUAAAACCUGAAUGAAUUGAUUGGACCAGAGAACAAUUGACAGCUGUAGCACAAAUCUGAGUCUGAUGAACAUUGAAUCUCUUAUGAUUGAGACCUCAGGCUGCAAAAAAUCAGACAGUCCAUCAGAAAUCUCAUACUUUUUCCUGGCAGUGGAUUUCUGGGAAUAAAGUCAGAAGAUUUUUAGAAAACAUAUGAAGAGAAACUAAAUUCUGUAAUGAAGUAAUGGAUAGGGUAGUAAGGGGAUAAAUUCUUGGGUAUUUGAUUUCUUAUAGGAAAAAUUCUAGUUUCUAAGAAAGAAUUUUGAAAUAGUCAGGAAUAUGAGAGAAUGUGCAAACUCUCUCACAAAGCAGAGAAAGGGCAUAAAAUACUGUCCUGGACACACUGGCAAGAAGCUUCCAGGAGUUUAAGACUAAGAGAAGAAAUGUGUAAGGCAUGAAAAUCCACAAUUUUGGCUGAAUAUCUGUUCUUACACCCCUGCGGUCUUGAAGCCUUUCAUGACAUGGAAUGAGGGUGUAAUUUCUCUGACUAUUCUGUAGCAUGUCUGUAAGUAGUAUUUUGUAAUUUUCUGUAAUGGUUUAAUUUUUCUCAGCUGAUACAUGUUCUAGCUAAAAAAGAGAGCUUGAAUAGAUGUGUCACCAUA